RNAcentral lists this long non-coding RNA (927 nucleotides) under Gallus gallus (chicken). RNAcentral's name for it is "long non-coding RNA NONGGAT002991". Lineage: Eukaryota; Metazoa; Chordata; Aves; Galliformes; Phasianidae. The record is from RNAcentral.
UGGGGAGGUUCUUCACGAUAAGCCGAGACAUGUCGGCAACAGAGAGCAGCCCCACUGAACACGGCACUAGGCCCAACCAGGCUCAGAGCCCCGCACGCCGCCCCUGGGCGCCGCCAUCUUCCCGCUGCAUCACGUGAGCACGGAGAGGCAGCGCGCAGGCGCGGUGAGGCGGGGCCCGGCGACGGGCCGCAGGAAGGCUCAUACCAACGGGCCUUAGCAACGGGGCGGAACAGGAAAGUGGGGCUGUUCCCCUCGGAGCAGCCCCUCUCGCUUCCAACGGCAUGGCUCAGGUCUGCCUCGUGCAGAGGGCUUCGUCUGCAAGAGGAGGCUCAACUCCUGCGCAGCUCCGGCCCUGCCCGCAGGAAGAAGUGCAGGUACUAGCAAGGACAAAGAUGAGCAUGACCCAGCAACAAUCACCAGUUCCUUUAGCUGCAUGGACACUCUGCACAUGCAGAGAACGUUUCAGGAGCAGCUCUGCUGGAAAUGCUGCCCUAAGUUUGAAUUUUGCUGCAGUCAGCUCCAGCCUGCAGGAGACUUUGAUCUUUCAGAGCAGAGAUGGCUGGACCCACCUCAUAUGAGCGAAUUGUCCUACCUGACCCUACAGGAAGAACAUCAAGAUCUUGGAAGUGUGGUACCCAAUGAAUCCAUCUCCCUCGUACUGCACAAGGAGAUGGAGCCCAUGGGAAGAGCAGAACAUGCUGCCUUGCUGAAGGGCUUCACCUAGAGUAGACAGAUCCUCUGCUGCAUGGAAAGGAUGUUUUCCUGCUUGCUGAUUGCUGCAGCAUCACCAUGGGCAGAAUUCACCUUUCAUCCAGAUAAAUCAUCACCUGGGCUUGCCUGCUUCAUGGUCUGUAAAUGUGUCCUGUGGUCCUGGUCUCUGCACUUCCUGUCUGCAACUUUGGAGCGGAGUGUGUCUUUCCAGAGCCU